CCCUCCUACAAAGCCGUGUCCUUCGCUCCCCCUCUUUGGACAGGAAGAACUGGAGGCAGAGAAAUGAGGAUUUGGAGACAUCUGGGGCCGGCUUGCUCCCUGCAGGCUCAAACUGAACUGUCCCACAUGA
Molecule: small nucleolar RNA, 130 nt
Organism: Cavia aperea (Brazilian guinea pig)
Lineage: Eukaryota; Metazoa; Chordata; Mammalia; Rodentia; Caviidae
Source: Ensembl